AACGAACGCUGGCGGCAGGCUUAACACAUGCAAGUCGAACGGGCGUAGCAAUACGUCAGUGGCAGACGGGUGAGUAACACGUGGGAACCUUCCUAGGGGUACGGAACAACUCAGGGAAACUUGAGCUAAUACCGUAUACGUCCGUGAGGAGAAAGAUUUAUCGCCCUUAGACGGGCCCGCGUCGGAUUAGCUAGUUGGUGGGGUAACGGCCUACCAAGGCGACGAUCCGUAGCUGAUCUUAGAGGAUGAUCAGCCACACUGGGACUGAGACACGGCCCAGACUCCUACGGGAGGCAGCAGUGGGGAAUUUUGGACAAUGGGGGCAACCCUGAUCCAGCCAUGCCGCGUGAGUGAAGAGGGCC
RNAcentral lists this ribosomal RNA (362 nucleotides) under uncultured bacterium. Its description in RNAcentral is "bacterial SSU rRNA". It matches the Rfam family "Bacterial small subunit ribosomal RNA", at positions 29 to 416 of the family's 1533-position model. The record is from RNAcentral.